GAUGAACGCUGGCGGCGUGCCUAAUGCAUGCAAGUCGAGCGAACGGACGCGAAGCUUGCUUCUCUGAUGUUAGCGGCGGACGUGUGAGUAACACGUGUAUAACCUACCUAUCAGACUGGGAUCACUUCGGGAAUCCGGCGCUAAUACCGGAUGAUCUUUUGCUCCGCAUGGUUCAAUAGUGAAAGACGGUCUUGCUGUCACUUAUCGCUGCAUCUCGGCUGCAUUAGCUAGUUGGUAAGGUAACGGCCUACCACGGCAACUAUGCGUAGACGACCUGAGAGAGGGGUAGGCCACAUGGGAGCUUGACCGGGGUCAAGACUCCUACGAGAGGCAGCAGUAGGGAAUCUUCCGCAGUGGGCGGAAGCAUUGCGGAGCAACCGCGCGUGAGAGGUGGAGGUCUUCGGAGCGUGAAACUCUGUUAUUGGGGGAGAACAGAUGUGGAAGGAACUGAGGACAGCUUGACGGUAACGAAUCAGGAAGCCACGGCUAACUACGUG
Molecule: ribosomal RNA, 497 nt
Filed under: uncultured bacterium
Lineage: Bacteria
Description: partial 16S ribosomal RNA
Rfam family: Bacterial small subunit ribosomal RNA
Source: RNAcentral